GCCGCAGUUGACGAAGUAAACGCUGAAGAACACAUGUCGUGGAUUGCAACUAUCGAAACCCCCCACUAUCGCAAGAUC
Molecule: non-coding RNA, 78 nt
Filed under: Platyophrya macrostoma
Lineage: Eukaryota; Ciliophora; Colpodea; Cyrtolophosidida; Platyophryidae
Source: RNAcentral